RNAcentral lists this ribosomal RNA (363 nucleotides) under uncultured bacterium. RNAcentral describes it as "bacterial SSU rRNA". It matches the Rfam family "Bacterial small subunit ribosomal RNA", at positions 441 to 793 of the family's 1533-position model. The record is from RNAcentral.
AGGAAGGUAGUGUAGUUAACACCUGCAUUAUUUGACGUUACCUACAGAAGAAGCACCGGCUAACUCCGUGCCAGCAGCCGCGGUAAUACGGAGGGUGCGAGCGUUAAUCGGAAUUACUGGGCGUAAAGCGCAUGCAGGCGGCCUGUUAAGUCAGAUGUGAAAGCCCGGGGCGUUAACCUCGGAAUUGCAUUUGUAAACUAGGCAGGCUAGAGUCUUGUAGAGGGGGGUAGGAAGUUUCAGGUGUAGCGGUGAAAUAGCGUAGAGAUCUGAAGGAAUACCAGUGGCGAAGGCGGCCCCCUCGGACAAAGACUGACGCUCAGAUGCGAAAGCGUGGGGAGCAAACAGGAUUAGAUACCCUGGUAG